AUUGAACGCUGGCGGCAUGCUUUACACAUGCAAGUCGAACGGCAGCGGGGUAGUGCUUGCACUACUGCCGGCGAGUGGCGAACGGGUGAGUAAUAUAUCGGAACGUACCGAGUAAUGGGGGAUAACCAAUCGAAAGAUUGGCUAAUACCGCAUACGUCCUGAGGGAGAAAGCGGGGGAUCGCAAGACCUCGCGUUAUUCGAGCGGCCGAUAACUGAUUAGCUAGUUGGUGGGGUAAAGGCCUACCAAGGCGACGAUCAGUAGCGGGUCUGAGAGGACGAUCCGCCACACUGGGACUGAGACACGGCCCAGACUCCUACGGGAGGCAGCAGUGGGGAAUUUUGGACAAUGGGGGCAACCCUGAUCCAGCCAUGCCGCGUGUAUGAAGAAGGCCUUCGGGUUGUAAAGUACUUUUGUUAGGGAAGAAAAGGGAAGUGCUAAUACCACUUUUUGCUGACGGUACCUAAAGAAUAAGCACCGGCUAA
Molecule: ribosomal RNA, 483 nt
Filed under: Eikenella corrodens
Lineage: Bacteria; Pseudomonadati; Pseudomonadota; Betaproteobacteria; Neisseriales; Neisseriaceae
Description: bacterial SSU rRNA
Rfam family: Bacterial small subunit ribosomal RNA
Source: RNAcentral